CUAGUAAUAGCCUUCGUACAUUUUGUUAUUUGUUUUAGGGAGGUCCGAAAAUUCUGAUAUAGCCAUGUUAUAUGAAGAGUUUGGACAGAUUUUUUAAGUUCCUCUUGUAACGUUGCGAUAACCAAAGGUCAUCUCUUCGUCUACCUUUCUUAUUGCCCUUUUAAUCAUCACCCUUUCUUCUUCAUUUUUCUGAAAAUAAAAUCAGCAACCCUUGGUCUUUGUGACUCCAUUUCACACCCCAUUCUCGUCCAACCAUUAGAGAAGAAGAGAAAGAGUUCUUUUCUCUUCUCGAUUUUCGUCCAUUUCUGCACACCCAUUUUCUUUGCAUCAUAUCUCCUUCGUUUCUUAUCCGAAUUGAGCGUGUGAGUAGUCAAAAUCUAUCUACUCGGAAAGAUCUUGCUCGUGGUAUAAUUUGUUUUUGAAUAAAGGGGAAGACGCGACUGCAGUUUUCGUUGCAAUCAGACGAGUCAUCCGGUUUUGUUCCCUGUCGCACCUUUACGAAAAUAACCGUAGCCGGAGAUCUAACCGUUGGAUAGUCUUCAAAUUUGGACAGAACGUUUAUGACAUAUUGUUCUUUACUUUGACCGGAUCGAUUUGGAUUCCGAGCUUUUGAUCACCGCGAAUCAUAGUCGGAACAGAGCAGUGCAAAAUAAGAGUUUUCAACAUUCAAGGAAAAGAUGGUGACGCUGUUUAGAGUGGUUCUAGUCUGGAUCGGGGGUGUGUGUGUUCCCCGUGAGAGCAAAGAAAGGGAGCUUAUCAUAGUGGAUGAGUAUUUCAUAUCUGGAUUUAGGAUUAAAUACGUAGUUGGUUUAAGUAGCUAAUUCUAGUUUUGACUCAUGUAUUGGAACUAUGUUUUACAGUUGUCUUAGUUUUGUUUACUCUAUGAUUUUGAGAAUUUCUUGGUGGUGUUAUGACUCUUUGAGACUUGUUGAAGAAUGAGGAUAUGGGACCUCAUCUUCCCUUUUUAUUAUAUGUACUGGAGUUGACUUUUACCUAUGAUGGUAUUCUAUUUUAGUUUUGUUCUA
Beta vulgaris subsp. vulgaris (sugar beet) is the source of this 1025-nucleotide long non-coding RNA. RefSeq lists it as uncharacterized. The record is from RefSeq and is a predicted model, not a curated record. The transcript is spliced from 2 exons. Lineage: Eukaryota; Viridiplantae; Streptophyta; Magnoliopsida; Caryophyllales; Amaranthaceae.